Molecule: ribosomal RNA, 1492 nt
Filed under: Halothece sp. PCC 7418
Lineage: Bacteria; Bacillati; Cyanobacteriota; Cyanophyceae; Chroococcales; Halothecacae
Description: 16S ribosomal RNA
Rfam family: Bacterial small subunit ribosomal RNA
Source: RNAcentral
UCAACAUGGAGAGUUUGAUCCUGGCUCAGGAUGAACGCUGGCGGCGUGCUUAACACAUGCAAGUCGAACGAAGCCCUCGGGCUUAGUGGCGGACGGGUGAGUAACGCGUGAGAAUCUACCUUCAGGAUGGGGACAACCGUUGGAAACGACGGCUAAUCCCCAAUAGGCCGAGAGGUGAAACAGGUUUCUGCCUGAAGAGGAGCUCGCGUCCGAUUAGUUAGUUGGUGGGGUAAAAGCGUACCAAGGCAGCGAUCGGUAGCUGGUCUGAGAGGAUGAGCAGCCACACUGGGACUGAGACACGGCCCAGACUCCUACGGGAGGCAGCAGUGGGGAAUUUUCCGCAAUGGGCGAAAGCCUGACGGAGCAACGCCGCGUGUGGGAAGAAGGCUCUUGGGCUGUCAACCACUUUUCUCAGGGAAGAAGUCCUGACGGUACCUGAGGAAUCAGCCUCGGCUAACUCCGUGCCAGCAGCCGCGGUAAUACGGAGGAGGCAAGCGUUAUCCGGAAUUAUUGGGCGUAAAGCGUCCGCAGGGGGCGCAUCAAGUCUGCUGUUAAAGGUCGGAGCUCAACUCCGGUAGAGCAGUGGAAACUGGUGCGCUAGAGGGCGACAGGGGUAGAGGGAAUUCCCAGUGUAGCGGUGAAAUGCGUAGAGAUUGGGAAGAACACCGGUGGCGAAAGCGCUCUACUGGGUCGCACCUGACCCUCAGGGACGAAAGCUAAGGUAGCGAAAGGGAUUAGAUACCCCUGUAGUCUUAGCCGUAAACGAUGGAUACUAGGCGUGGUUUGUAUCGACCCAAGCCGUGCCGAAGCUAACGCGUUAAGUAUCCCGCCUGGGGAGUACGCACGCAAGUGUGAAACUCAAAGGAAUUGACGGGGGCCCGCACAAGCGGUGGAGGAUGUGGUUUAAUUCGAUGCAACGCGAAGAACCUUACCAGGGCUUGACAUCCCGCGAAGUUUGGGGAAACUCAGACGUGCCUACGGGAACGCGGAGACAGGUGGUGCAUGGCUGUCGUCAGCUCGUGUCGUGAGAUGUUGGGUUAAGUCCCGCAACGAGCGCAACCCUCGUCCUUAGUUGCCAGCAUUAGGUUGGGCACUCUAGGGAGACUGCCGGUGACAAACCGGAGGAAGGUGAGGAUGACGUCAAGUCAGCAUGCCCCUUAUGCUCUGGGCAACACACGUCCUACAAUGGUCGGGACAAAGGGGAGCAAGCUCGCGAGAGUAAGCGAAUCCCAGCAAACUCGGCCUCAGUUCAGAUAGCAGGCUGCAACUCGCCUGCUUGAAGGAGGAAUCGCUAGUAAUCGCAGGUCAGAAUACUGCGGUGAAUUCGUUCCCGGGCCUUGUACACACCGCCCGUCACACCAUGGAAGCUGGCCAAGCCCGAAGUCGUUACCCUAACCGUUUGGAGGGGGGCGCCGAAGGCUGGGCUGGUGACUGGGGUGAAGUCGUAACAAGGUAGCCGUACCGGAAGGUGUGGCUGGAUCACCUCCUUAAU